Molecule: RNA transcript, 3129 nt
Organism: Drosophila miranda
Lineage: Eukaryota; Metazoa; Arthropoda; Insecta; Diptera; Drosophilidae
Exons: 12
Source: RefSeq, a predicted model, not a curated record
GUCGAUGUUGUGGCAGCCACAGCACAGCGUGCCUCUGCGGAUCAAAUCUUAAAUCUGGAACAUAUGCUGCAAUGUGAACGCCUAAUACCCAGGUAAAAUACCCAGGACUCUCCCUUUUUACAAAAUCUCCGACAUCUGCUGGCAGCUCCGCUUCAAGAACUUGAGGACAGCCUCCUUUGUGCUGUCGUUGCCCAUGUACUUCCAGACGAAGUGCUUGCGGAGCACCUCCAGGUACCUCAGGGCGGACUGGGCCAGCUCUUUUUCCUGGGCGACGAGUUUUCGCUCCAUAAUCUUGCCAUAAUGCUCGAUGGAGUCGGCGACAACAUUGUCGUACUUUACGCUAACUUCCUGCACCACCAGGUCGCGUUGUUUUUGCUUAUAGCCAUUGAUGGAGUCACGCAAUAGCGUAUCGAACAUCGUGUCAAGCUUCUCCACUUGCGCCAAAUCUUUCUCGUCCUGACCCAACGGACUGAACAAGGUCUUAAAGAAUUGGCUCUUCGCAUUGGCAUCUUCUUUGGUGCACAGCAGUUUGAGAGCCAUAGUGGCGGAGGAGGCGAGUAUUUGCAUAUCUUCUUCCGCAUCCCUCGUCUCCAUCUCCAUUUUCUUUAAUUUAUGUUUUCGCUGCUGAAGCUCGUCUUCAAGACCCUGCAGUUUCUUCAGCUCGCUGCGCAAAGCAGCACUUUCCUUUAACAAUUGCUGGUUGCGCUCAUGUAUAUCGCUGUCCAACUCGCUCAUCGAGAUGGUGCUCUUUUCUGGGCUGACCCCCGACUCCAGAUUGUCGUCAUCCACGUCAUUCGACUCUCUCAUCUCAUCGCUGCGCUUCAUUAGUGCGCGCAAAUCCAUGUGGAAGCUGGUUUGAUCCGUGAAGGUAUAGCCAAUGUUGCUUUUCCUGUUCAGCUGUGUGUGGAGCUGCAGCAGCAUCCAAUUGCGCUCGAACCUAACCUCGGGCGAGGCGUUAUGGAAGAUGUUUAACCAGCGAGUGCAUGUUGGAAAUAAUGAACAGUCGUUGAACUGUUUAAAUAAAUAUCAUCACAUUGGCCUUGAGUCAGUUCAAACUCUUGGAAAAAAUGGAAACAUGUUUGUUUUAUAUAUCUCGUCAGUCUGAAAUCAGGAGCAGUAGAGUGAACAUUGAAAUUUCUUGUUUAAAUUUUAGUGUUGUGUUUUUCGAUUCCAGUUAAAAAGUUCAUACCUUGGACUUUGUAGACUGUGCUGCGUCGGCUGUGGGUCCUGCGGACCCUGCGGCGGCCCCUGUUGCAGUCCUUGCUGUGGACCGCGUUGUGGAACAUCCUGCUGAGCGAUGGCCCAUGUUCGUCGAAUCUAAAAAGGUACUGCACCUUUCUGUUCUGCUGAUGAUGACAGCCAGUCAUUUUUGUCGGACCAGCGACGACUAGCGUUUCUCCUGCUUUUUGUGGAUCAAUCCUUGGCGAUGGCAGCCCUUCUUGAUGGCAGUUUUGUGCUUGCUCUUGUUUGCUCUUACGGUAUUUGCAUCAUCUUCAGACUGUGCUGCGUCGGCUGUGGGUCCUGCGGACCCUGCGGCGGCCCCUGUUGCAGUCCUUGCUGUGGACCGCGUUGUGGAACAUCCUGCUGAGCGAUGGCCCAUGUUCGUCGAAUCUAAAAAGGUACUGCACCUUUCUGUUCUGCUGAUGAUGACAGCCAGUCAUUUUUGUCGGACCAGCGACGACUAGCGUUUCUCCUGCUUUUUGUGGAUCAAUCCUUGGCGAUGGCAGCCCUUCUUGAUGGCAGUUUUGUGCUUGCUCUUGUUUGCUCUUACGGUAUUUGCAUCAUCUUCAGACUGUGCUGCGUCGGCUGUGGGUCCUGCGGACCCUGCGGCGGCCCCUGUUGCAGUCCUUGCUGUGGACCGCGUUGUGGAACAUCCUGCUGAGCGAUGGCCCAUGUUCGUCGAAUCUAAAAAGGUACUGCACCUUUCUGUUCUGCUGAUGAUGACAGCCAGUCAUUUUUGUCGGACCAGCGACGACUAGCGUUUCUCCUGCUUUUUGUGGAUCAAUCCUUGGCGAUGGCAGCCCUUCUUGAUGGCAGUUUUGUGCUUGCUCUUGUUUGCUCUUACGGUAUUUGCAUCAUCUUCAGACUGUGCUGCGUCGGCUGUGGGUCCUGCGGACCCUGCGGCGGCCCCUGUUGCAGUCCUUGCUGUGGACCGCGUUGUGGAACAUCCUGCUGAGCGAUGGCCCAUGUUCGUCGAAUCUAAAAAGGUACUGCACCUUUCUGUUCUGCUGAUGAUGACAGCCAGUCAUUUUUGUCGGACCAGCGACGACUAGCGUUUCUCCUGCUUUUUGUGGAUCAAUCCUUGGCGAUGGCAGCCCUUCUUGAUGGCAGUUUUGUGCUUGCUCUUGUUUGCUCUUACGGUAUUUGCAUCAUCUUCAGACUGUGCUGCGUCGGCUGUGGGUCCUGCGGACCCUGCGGCGGCCCCUGUUGCAGUCCUUGCUGUGGACCGCGUUGUGGAACAUCCUGCUGAGCGAUGGCCCAUGUUCGUCGAAUCUAAAAAGGUACUGCACCUUUCUGUUCUGCUGAUGAUGACAGCCAGUCAUUUUUGUCGGACCAGCGACGACUAGCGUUUCUCCUGCUUUUUGUGGAUCAAUCCUUGGCGAUGGCAGCCCUUCUUGAUGGCAGUUUUGUGCUUGCUCUUGUUUGCUCUUACGGUAUUUGCAUCAUCUUCAGGUGAUUUUUUAUUAAUGCCAACCAUUUUAGAGAUUUUUGUAAUAUGUAGUUUACGACAUAUUGCAAAAAUCUCUAAAAUGGAUGGCAUAAAAAAAAAAUCACCACAAGAUGUUGGAUAUUCCGUUACAGCAAGCAAAAGCAGGCCCAAUACUUCCAUCGAAGAGGAAUGCCACCGCCAAAGAUAGAUAAAAAGGAAGCAGGAGAGGAGCUACUGCCGGAGGCGCGACGCGAGUCCUCCGAGGCCGAGGAGACGGCGGCCGACGACUUGAUGAUGCGUGGUGGCUCCACGACCAGAUUGAGCCUACAGUAAGGGCGUUGCGAUCUGCACGCUUUCGAGUGGAGACUUUCGAGGCUUUGCUACGAGCCUUCUCCGACGCUUUUAUAUGACCACCUCCUCGGUGAUUUGCAGAAACUGGAUGCCGGCUGCCAAGAGUAAUAAAGCUGGAGUCAGACGAA